AGUGCCCUCACGGCCUCGUGGGCCGACAAUAAGUCGGAAGGAGUUUGUUGGUUGGUUGUCUCGUUUCAUUUUCUGGACCACAGGUUUGUCGGUGUUGAGAGUGUUGGCAAUGGUCUGUGGGGUAGCAGAAAUGUUGUUGGGGGCCUGAAUAAAGGCAUAGUCGGUAAUUGCCUCAAAAUCGAUAUCGGCUCGCCGAGUAUCUUCAUGCCAUCGGACCACCUUAUCAAGUUCCCCUGGAGCAAUUGAUGCUAGGUGCUGCUUAACAG
RNAcentral lists this long non-coding RNA (266 nucleotides) under Dunaliella salina. RNAcentral describes it as "long non-coding RNA (DSAL_LNC000374)". Lineage: Eukaryota; Viridiplantae; Chlorophyta; Chlorophyceae; Chlamydomonadales; Dunaliellaceae. The record is from RNAcentral.